UACGUAGGGUGCAAGCGUUGCCCGGAUUUAUUGGGCGUAAAGGGCGCGUAGGCGGCUCGGCACGUCCGUUGUGAAAUCGCCCGGCUCAACUGGGCGGGGUCAGCGGAUACGGUCGAGCUUGAGCAAGCUAGGGGGCAAUGGAAUUCCCGGUGUAGUGGUGGAAUGCGUAGAUAUCGGGAGGAACACCGGUGGCGAAGGCGGAUCUCUGGGCCUGUCCUGACGCUCAGGCGCGAAAGCUAGGGGAGCGAACAGG
Molecule: ribosomal RNA, 253 nt
Filed under: uncultured bacterium
Lineage: Bacteria
Description: partial 16S ribosomal RNA
Rfam family: Bacterial small subunit ribosomal RNA
Source: RNAcentral